RNAcentral lists this ribosomal RNA (255 nucleotides) under uncultured bacterium. Its description in RNAcentral is "partial 16S ribosomal RNA". It matches the Rfam family "Bacterial small subunit ribosomal RNA", at positions 524 to 776 of the family's 1533-position model. The record is from RNAcentral.
UACGUAGGGUGCAAGCGUUAAUCGGAAUUACUGGGCGUAAAGCGUGCGCAGGCGGUGAUGUAAGACAGGUGUGAAAUCCCCGGGCUUAACCCUGGGAACUGCAUUUGUGACUGCAUCGCUGGAGUGCGGCAGAGGGGGAUGGAAUUCCGCGUGUAGCAGUGAAAUGCGUAGAUAUGCGGAGGAACACCGAUGGCGAAGGCAAUCCCCUGGGCCUGCACUGACGCUCAGUGCACGAAAGCGUGGGGAGCAAACAGG